Molecule: long non-coding RNA, 428 nt
Filed under: Sorghum bicolor (sorghum)
Lineage: Eukaryota; Viridiplantae; Streptophyta; Magnoliopsida; Poales; Poaceae
Description: long non-coding RNA (SBIC_LNC004560)
Source: RNAcentral
AGGGGAAUGUCAUACUCUAAGAUCAAAGACUUUGGAAAUUAAAAUCUUUGUCAACUCUUACUGGCAUAUUGCUUAUUAGACGGACCAUGGGCUAUCAUUUUCUCUUUUUCUUCUUCUUUUUUUUAAGUGGAUACCGAGGUAUCCCUAAUUCUACUGUUGGACACUUGUCCAUUUUUUCUGCGAGGUUGUCGAGAACUUGCUCCUUUUUAUUUCCUCGAAAUAUCUCUAUUUUUGCAUAGCCCAUGCCUCUAAUGCAAUAAUACUUCGGAAGAGUGAAUCUUUCUGAAUAAAUGUCUUGAUCUUAGGAGCAUGAUAAAUCUCUCAACAAGGGUCUAACUCAUUUUGAACAAACUCAAUACAGAGUAGAUAGCUUUUAUAAUCAUAAUUAAUAUUUUUAGUUUUAUCAGGCAUAUAAAACACUGAGGAUG